UAUAAUUGCAUGUACCAUUCUCGGGAGACGAGAAUCCUCAUUUACGAUAAAAUAAAAAAUUAAAGUAUAAUUAUAAACUGAAAGAGCGCAAUAUCCUUUCAAAUAGUACAAUUUUUUAUACAAAUCGUGUAACAUAUGCACCAUUUUUUACACAUAUAGUAUGAAUUUAUAAUAUAUUAUAAUAUUUUAUACUAUUUGCCUAUAAUAUACUAUAUUAUUCGUAAUUUUGUAUAAAAAUCAUGCAAUAUGUUCACAAAUGAUGUAUAUGUUGCACUAUUAUACAAAUAUUGUACUAUUUGGAAGAGAAUGUUACACUAUUUAAGAAGUAUUACAUUCUUUCGUUUUUUUAUUAUUUGAUGUUUUUUAUUUAUACGUUAGAUGAGAAUUUUGUUUUUCAAGAAAAAGGUCGAUGUAAUAAUGAUUCGUCAGUUGUAUUUUUCAAGACAUUUAAUGUAUAUACCUUUUUAUGCAUUUUGAAAGAGAGGUAGUUUGGUGAUACUCUUAAAAAAUGUAAGGACUUAGAUUUUGGCAGUGCAGCUAAACUCUCUGUUGAC
This 554-nucleotide long non-coding RNA is filed under the name Ananas comosus (pineapple). RNAcentral's name for it is "long non-coding RNA (ACOM_LNC042170)". Lineage: Eukaryota; Viridiplantae; Streptophyta; Magnoliopsida; Poales; Bromeliaceae. The record is from RNAcentral.